GGAUGUGAGGGUGAUCUGGCUGCAACAUCUGUCACCCCAUUGAUCGCCAGGGGUUGACCCCGCUGAUCUGGCUGGCUGGGCGGGUGUCCCCUUCCUCCCUCAACGCUCCAUGUACCUCCCUCCCAAAGCUGCACGCUCGGUCGAAAAGGACGACCACCCCCGAUAGGGGAGGACCGUUCCUUGGUCAAAGGCAUAUGAGUAGCUGUGCUCCCCUCCUAGACCUUCCAAACAAGCUCUCAAAAUAAUGUUUUAACUCUUUGAUUAAGGUAGCACUGAGUCUAUGUCUCAAUGUAGGAGUAAUUGACACCAAUAUUG
This 315-nucleotide small nuclear RNA is filed under the name Chinchilla lanigera (long-tailed chinchilla). Its description in RNAcentral is "7SK RNA (ENSCLAG00000021655.1)". It matches the Rfam family "7SK RNA". Rfam says of the family: 7SK was discovered as an abundant small nuclear RNA in the mid-70s but a possible function has only recently been suggested. Two independent studies have found that 7SK RNA binds the CDK9/cyclin T complex (known as elongation factor P-TEFb). The record is from Rfam by way of RNAcentral. Lineage: Eukaryota; Metazoa; Chordata; Mammalia; Rodentia; Chinchillidae.